Molecule: ribosomal RNA, 460 nt
Filed under: Melanorivulus punctatus
Lineage: Eukaryota; Metazoa; Chordata; Actinopteri; Cyprinodontiformes; Rivulidae
Description: partial 12S ribosomal RNA
Rfam family: Bacterial small subunit ribosomal RNA
Source: RNAcentral
GAAAAUUACAGGCAUAAGCUCGAUACUUAAAGGGCUUGGCGGCGCUUUAGAUCCACCUAGAGGAGCCUGUCCUAUAACCUAUAACCCCCGUUAAACCUUACCUUCUUUUGCCCCCAGCCUAUAUACCGCCGUCGUCAGCUUACCCUUUGAAGGGCUCAUAGUGAGCAAGCUCGGUCAAGCCCCAGACGUCAGGUCGAGGUGUAGCAUAUGAGAAGCGAAGAGAUGGGCUACAUUUCCUACACUAAGGAUCACGAAUAAUGUUUUGAAACAAACAUAUUGAAGCAGGAUUUAGCAGUAAGUAAAAAAUAGAGAGUUUUUCUGAAGCCGGCCCUUAAGCGCGCACACACCGCCCGUCCCCCUCUCCUAAUUUUCACACUAUCUUUUACCUAAAACCUUAAAAGAACAGAGGAGAGACAAGUCGUAACAUGGUAAGUAUACUGGAAAGUGUACUUGGACAAAU